Molecule: long non-coding RNA, 1090 nt
Filed under: Lepisosteus oculatus (spotted gar)
Lineage: Eukaryota; Metazoa; Chordata; Actinopteri; Semionotiformes; Lepisosteidae
Description: lncRNA (ENSLOCG00000023181.1)
Source: RNAcentral
CAGUCAGUCAGUGUGUCUGUAUGAACCCCUCUCUCUCUCAGGCGGGAGUAUGAAGAGUCCAUGAUGGUGCGUCUGAACGUAUCACGAAAGGACCGCGUCUCAAAGAAGAGGAGCAUGAUGGGAAUGUCAGCGCAGCUGAACUCGAUCACUCAUUUUGGUGACAUCAGCGCACUGACCGGUGAAGCACAGGGCCUGGGGAAUCCUCGCCCAAAGAAGAAAAAGAGGCUGCUGAAGAAAAAGAACAAUAGAGGUUUCCGACGGCACCGGUAGGACGGGGAAGCUGCCAGUCUGAAGAGCCUGUCCCGGGAGCGAGGCGGUGGGAAUACUGGGCCGUGCCCGAGCGUUUCUCGCGCCCCGUUUCUCGGGGGUUGAAGUUUCUUUGGGCGCUUGAUCGAGGUUCCCCGUUAGUCUGAAGCUGGGGUUCGACGUUAAGAGACCCCCCGUGACCGAUGGACAUCUCCAGCUUUGCUCUGAAAGGGAACUUCGUCGGGGCUCUUUGGAAAUGGGGUUGUGGACCUCAAGUCCUUCUUUUGACACCUGUCUGUCACCCCAAUAUGUCAUCGCUUAGAUCACUUUUCCAGCACGAAAGGUGAUGUAAUUGAUGGGAAGAUUAUUUGGAAUACAGGGUGGGAUGUGCAGGAUGAUCCUUCCCCGCUGUCCUGACAACAGCAGCAUGGGAUUUGUCGACACCUGGUCUGGGUGCUUUUCUCUCUGACGCCGUGUUUUGACUGCAGCUGUUGCAGGAUCCGGUUGUUGAAAAGAAAUGUUGGUUUCUGUGAAAGUGCUUUUUAUUUAGAAACUCUAGCGUGCAUCCUAGCUGUUGAGAGGCAGCGUUGGGUACAGAUGUUUAUCCCUCAUGAACAGACAAGUGGACUGUGCAAGAAUUGGCAUUUUUAAUAAAUGAAAUUGUGUACUUGGUUGUUUUUGUCUUGACUUGUAGGAGUGUGUCUGCCUGCUGUUGUGUGCUCGUUGGAACUGAAAUUUUCAAAUCAACGCCUCUCCGAUAUUUGAGUGGCUAGCAGGCACUGAUUUAACUACACUAGCGAUGUGUUUGGAAGUUUAGAGAGUUUUUAGUUGUUAUGAUGCAGAU